UUCCGGUGUCUUUAAAUUCUCUGCCAUUAAUCUGUUCGAACGCUGCGAGUGAAUUUAGCUACUCUGAUCUGAUUGAACGAUGGCUAUACCCACCAGUUAAUGUUCGAGAAAAGCCCUGGACCAUCAAACGACCAGCUCUGGAUCUGAUAGCCGCCUGCGACUCGAGCAAAACGGUCGUUUUAGUUCCUCUUUAUUUUGCCGCAGUCAGAAAUUAUUCCAGCUCAAGGCCAGCGGUCGCGCGCACUGCUUUCUGCUCCUACAGCCUUUCACAUCUCUCACCUCAUAAACUAAACACAUCUCUUGUUUGAUGGUAUGCAGAUCUGGAUUUCUAACACAGAGUCGGUCUCAAGCUGAUAUAUAAUGCUGUUCCAGUAACACAAACACUAGUUUGGCUUGAAGUCAAGUAGAGCAAAGGCUGUGCGAGGCAGAGAAAGGCCAGAGGGAGAAGACGUAUACUGAGUCUUUGUGCCAGGGGUUGUGCUCCCCACUUACUGCUGGUCACCCAUCGAUUCCUGGCUGCCUUCCACCUCUGAUCACAGCCAUGACCUCUCAGAGAGACCCUGACACAGUGAAUCUACGGUUGAUCCUUGUGAGUGGGAAGACACAGGAUUUCACUUUCUCUCCAAAUGACUCUGCCACAGAAAUUGCCCGGCAUGUUUUUGAGAACUGGCCGGCAGG
Sinocyclocheilus grahami is the source of this 678-nucleotide long non-coding RNA. RefSeq lists it as uncharacterized. The record is from RefSeq and is a predicted model, not a curated record. The transcript has 4 exons. NCBI's taxonomy places the organism in Eukaryota, Metazoa, Chordata, Actinopteri, Cypriniformes, Cyprinidae.